GAGGGGAUAGCUCACUGGUGGAGCACAUGCCUAGCAUGCAUGAGGUCCUGGGUUCAAUCCCCAGUGCCUCCA
Molecule: transfer RNA, 72 nt
Filed under: Camelus bactrianus (Bactrian camel)
Lineage: Eukaryota; Metazoa; Chordata; Mammalia; Artiodactyla; Camelidae
Also listed under: 1 other name
Rfam family: tRNA
About the family: Transfer RNA (tRNA) molecules are approximately 80 nucleotides in length. Their secondary structure includes four short double-helical elements and three loops (D, anti-codon, and T loops). Further hydrogen bonds mediate the characteristic L-shaped molecular structure. tRNAs have two regions of fundamental functional importance: the anti-codon, which is responsible for specific mRNA codon recognition, and the 3' end, to which the tRNAs corresponding amino acid is attached (by aminoacyl-tRNA synthetases). tRNAs cope with the degeneracy of the genetic code in two manners: having more than one tRNA (with a specific anti-codon) for a particular amino acid; and 'wobble' base-pairing, i.e. permitting non-standard base-pairing at the 3rd anti-codon position.
Source: Rfam by way of RNAcentral